Molecule: ribosomal RNA, 204 nt
Filed under: uncultured bacterium
Lineage: Bacteria
Description: partial 16S ribosomal RNA
Rfam family: Bacterial small subunit ribosomal RNA
Source: RNAcentral
GACGAACGCUGGCGGCGUGCUUAACACAUGCAAGUCGAGCGGUAAGGCCCUUUCGGGGGUACACGAGCGGCGAACGGGUGAGUAACACGUGGGUGACCUGCCCUCAGCUCUGGGAUAAGCCGUGGGAAACCGGGUCUAAUACCGGAUAUGACUCCAUGACGCAUGUUGUGGGGUGAAAGCCUUGUGCGGCUGAGGAUGGGCCCG